RNAcentral lists this ribosomal RNA (518 nucleotides) under uncultured bacterium. Its description in RNAcentral is "partial 16S ribosomal RNA". It matches the Rfam family "Bacterial small subunit ribosomal RNA", at positions 28 to 523 of the family's 1533-position model. The record is from RNAcentral.
GACGAACGCUGGCGGCGUGCUUAACACAUGCAAGUCGAACGGAGAAUUUAUUUCGGUAAAUUCUUAGUGGCGAACGGGUGAGUAACGCGUGGGCAACCUGCCCUUCAGAUGGGGACAACAUCCCGAAAGGGGUGCUAAUACCGAAUACGAUCACGCUGCCGCAUGGCGGAGUGAUGAAAGAUGGCCUCUAUUUAUAAGCUAUCGCUGAAGGAUGGGCCUGCGACUGAUUAGCUAGUUGGUGGGGUAACGGCCUACCAAGGCGAUGAUCAGUAGCCGGUCUGAGAGGAGGAGCGGCCACAUUGGGACUGAGACACGGCCCAAACUCCUACGGGAGGCAGCAGUGGGGAAUAUUCCGCAAUGGACGAAAGUCUGACGGAGCAACGCCGCGUGAGUGAUGAAGGUUUUCGGACUGUAAAACUCUGUUGUUUAGGACGAAAGUGCCUGUUGCAAAUAGUUGCAGGUAUUGACGGUACUGAACGAGGAAGCCACGGCUAACUACGUGCCAGCCGCCGCGGUAA